Molecule: transfer RNA, 45 nt
Filed under: Lepidodactylus novaeguineae
Lineage: Eukaryota; Metazoa; Chordata; Lepidosauria; Squamata; Gekkonidae
Description: partial tRNA-Cys
Source: RNAcentral
AAGCCCCGGCACCCUUUAUGGGUGCUCUCCAAAUUUGCACUUUGG